Alligator mississippiensis (American alligator) is the source of this 146-nucleotide small nuclear RNA. RefSeq annotates it as U4 spliceosomal RNA. Lineage: Eukaryota; Metazoa; Chordata; Crocodylia; Alligatoridae. The transcript has a single exon. The record is from RefSeq and is a predicted model, not a curated record.
UUAAAUGUUCAUCAGUAUCGUAGCCAAUGAGGUUAAUCCGAGGCGCGAUUAUUGCUAAUUGAAAACUUUACUUCAACUGGAUGAAUGUUAAGUCUCCAGUCUCUACUAGCAUUGACUCUUGCUAUUUUUUAAAACUUUAAAAAAAG